RNAcentral lists this long non-coding RNA (286 nucleotides) under Junco hyemalis (dark-eyed junco). Its description in RNAcentral is "lncRNA (ENSJHYG00000010412.1)". The record is from RNAcentral. Lineage: Eukaryota; Metazoa; Chordata; Aves; Passeriformes; Passerellidae.
AACAGUAAAGAAUAUUCUUUCUUAUUCUCUAUUUUCCUUUCUCAGGUGUCUAUUUAUAACCUGCAGAGUGACAAAACUACUAGUCAAGAGAAUUUGCAGCCAGAAGACUUUUCUUCCUCAAGAGUCUUCUAAGAAAUUACAGUGUUCUUGAAGCCAGCUUCCUCUUCAGCCACUGGGCAUUCACUUGAAUCACCUGAGGCCUCUUCCAGCCUCCUGAAGCUCCCAUAAAUUAUUGCUCUCUUAUGCUGAUCAUAAUAUAGAAGCCUGCAUCUCUAGUUGUUAAACA